GGAAAAGUAAGAAAGAAAAUGGUUCAAUGCUAUUUUAAAUGUAGUCUAUCUUUCUGCCAGUUAUAAAAAAAAAAAUAUUUAAAGACUAUUCUAAAAGAAACUGGAAAUGCAAUUUGAAAGUUAGUUGUUAAAAGCACUGAACAGCCCUGGUACCAGUUUUCCCUACCUUCUUUCACUGACUUUCUGUUCUUGCAAACUGUUCUCCAUCUCCGACACUAUUUCCCAUAUUUCCUCUAGUCAAUACGUGUCUCCUGAGGUUGGAUGUGGAUUCGGCUAUUCAUAAAGCCUACAAUUAAAACUGCAUCUCAAUUUUAAAACUCGUUUCUUCUUUGGAAGAAUUCUGAGACUCUACUAAUCAGUAAAUGUAGUGAAAAAAAGUAAAACAUCGUUCUGAGAGGGUCAGGCUUGUGCUGAGACCUCCCACAUCCUGCCUUAGUACUGGUUUCAUCAGCAAAGCUCGGAACGGAGCAGUAAACUCAGAGUGCAGUUUAGUGGGCACAGGAUUACGCGGCUCGCAGAGAAGCAUAAGCCUUUCGUUCUACCAUCACAGCCUAACAGGGAAAAAAGAUUGAAGGACACUUCCAGAAGGUUUGAUUGCUGCAGUUUCAUAAGUAUGUUUUAUUUUCACCUGAUGUUUGGCAGAUUGGCUCUCAGCAUGGACGUUAUCUC
RNAcentral lists this long non-coding RNA (669 nucleotides) under Calidris pygmaea (Spoon-billed sandpiper). Its description in RNAcentral is "lncRNA (ENSCPGG00000015095.1)". The record is from RNAcentral. Lineage: Eukaryota; Metazoa; Chordata; Aves; Charadriiformes; Scolopacidae.